UACGAAGGGGGCUAGCGUUGUUCGGAAUUACUGGGCGUAAAGGGCGCGCAGGCGGCCCUCCAAGUCAGGCGUGAAAGCCCCGGGCUCAACCCGGGAAUAGCGCUUGAGACUGGGGGGCUUGAGUUCGGGAGAGGAGAGUGGAAUUCCCAGUGUAGAGGUGAAAUUCGUAGAUAUUGGGAAGAACACCGGUGGCGAAGGCGGCUCUCUGGACCGACACUGACGCUGAGGCGCGAAAGCGUGGGGAGCGAACAGG
Molecule: ribosomal RNA, 253 nt
Filed under: uncultured bacterium
Lineage: Bacteria
Description: partial 16S ribosomal RNA
Rfam family: Bacterial small subunit ribosomal RNA
Source: RNAcentral